UGCGUCGGCCGGAUGAUCGCGAGACAGGUCCUGCAGAGGAUGUCUGCUCGAGGAAAGUCCGGGCUCCGAAGGGUGGGCUGCCAGGUAACGCCUGGGCACGACGCAGCGGCGGGAUCGCUGCGGCGUGACGGAAAGUGCCACAGAAAAUACACCGCCGACGGCCGGCGUUCGCGUCGGAUCGGGCAAGGGUGAAAAGGUGCGGUAAGAGCGCACCGCGUUGCCGGUAACGGGAACGGCAGGGUAAACCCCAGCUGGAGCAAGGCCAAAUAAGCGGCGAGGAACGGCCCGUUCCGACCAAGACGCCGCGGGUAGGCUGCUGGAGCGUGCAGGUGACUGUACGCCGAGAGGAAUGAUCAUCCAUCACGUUCGCGUGAUGACAAAACCCGGCUUACAGGCCGGCGCAUAUC
Molecule: RNase P RNA, 407 nt
Filed under: Gemmatimonadaceae bacterium
Lineage: Bacteria; Pseudomonadati; Gemmatimonadota; Gemmatimonadia; Gemmatimonadales; Gemmatimonadaceae
Description: RNase P RNA component class A
Rfam family: Bacterial RNase P class A
About the family: Ribonuclease P (RNase P) is a ubiquitous endoribonuclease, found in archaea, bacteria and eukarya as well as chloroplasts and mitochondria. Its best characterised activity is the generation of mature 5'-ends of tRNAs by cleaving the 5'-leader elements of precursor-tRNAs.
Source: RNAcentral